Molecule: ribosomal RNA, 467 nt
Filed under: uncultured bacterium
Lineage: Bacteria
Description: partial 16S ribosomal RNA
Rfam family: Bacterial small subunit ribosomal RNA
Source: RNAcentral
GACGAACGCUGGCGGCGUGCUUAACACAUGCAAGUCGAACGGAAAGGCCCUGCUUUUGUGGGGUGCUCGAGUGGCGAACGGGUGAGUAACACGUGAGUAACCUGCCCUUGACUUUGGGAUAACUUCAGGAAACUGGGGCUAAUACCGGAUAGGAGCUCCUGCUGCAUGGUGGGGGUUGGAAAGUUUCGGCGGUUGGGGAUGGACUCGCGGCUUAUCAGCUUGUUGGUGGGGUAGUGGCUUACCAAGGCUUUGACGGGUAGCCGGCCUGAGAGGGUGACCGGAGACAGGGGGAAUGUGAGACGGCGGAGACGAAUACGGGAGGCAGCAGGGGGGAAGAGGGUGCAAGGGGCGGAAGUAGGACGAAGGGACGCCGCGGGAGGGAUGAGGGUAUUAGGGUUGGAAAAAGAUUGCGCGUGUGACGAAGCGAGAGGGACGGUAAUAGGAAAAGAAGCACCGGAGAACUAAGU